RNAcentral lists this ribosomal RNA (912 nucleotides) under Tarzetta sp. AG-2019d. RNAcentral describes it as "partial large subunit ribosomal RNA". It matches the Rfam family "Eukaryotic large subunit ribosomal RNA", at positions 21 to 948 of the family's 3401-position model. Lineage: Eukaryota; Fungi; Ascomycota; Pezizomycetes; Pezizales; Tarzettaceae. The record is from RNAcentral.
UGUUUUACCCGGUUAAAAACUAGCAUAUCAAUAAGCGGAGGAAGAGAAACCAACAGGGAUUGCCUUAGUAACUGCGAGUGAAGCGGCAAAAGCUCAGAUUUGAAAUCUGUGCCCUUCCGGGCACCGAGUUGUAAUUUUGAGAUACGUUUUCGACCGACAGGCCUGCCUUAAGUUCCUUGGAACAGGACGUCACAGAGGGUGAGAAUCCCGUGAAUGGUAGGCCUCGACGCACACGAUACGUAUUCGACGAGUCGAGUUGUUUGGGAAUGCAGCUCAAAAUGGGUGGUAAAUUUCAUCUAAAGCUAAAUAUUGGGGAGAGACCGAUAGCGCACAAGUAGAGUGAUCGAAAGAUGAAAAGCACUUUGAAAAGAGAGUUAAAAAGUACGUGAAAUUGUUGAAAGGGAAGCGCUUGAGACCAGACUCAAUCACCGUUGAUCAACUUCAGUUCUCUGUUGUGCACUCGGCGGUUUUUGGGACAGCAUCGGUUCUGGCGGAGGGACAAAGCCUUAGGAAAUGUGGCACUCUUCGGGGUGUGUUAUAGUCCUUCGGGCAAUGCCUCCAGCCGGGACCGAGGACCGCGCCUCGGCUAGGAUGCUGUCAUAAUGGUCUUCAGCGACCCGUCUUGAAACACGGACCAAGGAGUCUAACAUCUAUGCGAGUGUUCGGGUGGAAAACCCUUGCGCGUAAUGAAAGUGAACGGAGGUGGGAAUCGUGAGAUGCACCAUCGACCGAUCCUGAAGUCUUCUGAAGGAUUUGAGUACGAGCAUAGCUGUUGGGACCCGAAAGAUGGUGAACUAUGCCUGAAUAGGGUGAAGCCAGGGGAAACUCUGGUGGAGGCUCGCAGCGGUUCUGACGUGCAAAUCGAUCGUCAAAUUUGGGUAUAGGGGCGAAAGACUAAUCGAACCAUCUUUU